RNAcentral lists this transfer RNA (72 nucleotides) under Ignavibacteria bacterium. Its description in RNAcentral is "tRNA-Asn". It matches the Rfam family "tRNA". Rfam says of the family: Transfer RNA (tRNA) molecules are approximately 80 nucleotides in length. Their secondary structure includes four short double-helical elements and three loops (D, anti-codon, and T loops). RNAcentral also lists the same sequence under 1 other name. The record is from RNAcentral. Lineage: Bacteria; Pseudomonadati; Ignavibacteriota; Ignavibacteria.
UGAACAGAAGCUCAGUGGUUGAGCAGCCGGCUGUUAACCGGAAGACCGCAGGUUCGACUCCUGCCUGUUCAG